This 506-nucleotide ribosomal RNA is filed under the name uncultured bacterium. RNAcentral describes it as "partial 16S ribosomal RNA". It matches the Rfam family "Bacterial small subunit ribosomal RNA", at positions 29 to 523 of the family's 1533-position model. The record is from RNAcentral.
AGUGAACGCUGGCGGUAGGCCUAACACAUGCAAGUCGAACGGCAGCACAGGAGAGCUUGCUCUCUGGGUGGCGAGUGGCGGACGGGUGAGGAAUACAUCGGAAUCUACUCUGUCGUGGGGGAUAACGUAGGGAAACUUACGCUAAUACCGCAUACGACCUACGGGUGAAAGCAGGGGACCUUCGGGCCUUGCGCGAUUGAAUGAGCCGAUGUCGGAUUAGCUAGUUGGCGGGGUAAAGGCCCACCAAGGCGACGAUCCGUAGCUGGUCUGCGAGGAUGAUCAGCCACACUGGAACUGAGACAAGGUCCAGACUCCUACGGGAGGCAGCAGUGGGGAAUAUUGGACAAUGGGCGCAAGCCUGAUCCAGCCAUACCGCGUGGGUGAAGAAGGCCUUCGUGUUGUAAAGCCCUUUUGUUGGGAAAGAAAUCCAGCUGGCUAAUACCCGGUUGGGAUGACGGUACCCAAAGAAUAAGCACUGGCUAACUUCGUGCCAGCCGCCGCAGUAA